UACAGAGGGGGCAAGCGUUGUUCGGAAUUACUGGGCGUAAAGGGCGCGUAGGCGGCCUUCUAAGUCAGACGUGAAAUCCCCGGGCUCAACCCGGGAACUGCGUCUGAGACUGGAAGGCUUGAAUCCGGGAGAGGGAUGUGGAAUUCCAGGUGUAGCGGUGAAAUGCGUAGAUAUCUGGAGGAACACCGGUGGCGAAGGCGGCAUCCUGGACCGGCAUUGACGCUGAGGCGCGAAAGCAUGGGUAGCGAACAGG
Molecule: ribosomal RNA, 253 nt
Filed under: uncultured bacterium
Lineage: Bacteria
Description: partial 16S ribosomal RNA
Rfam family: Bacterial small subunit ribosomal RNA
Source: RNAcentral